UGAAAUCUCAAAGGAGUGUCAUGAAAACACAGAUUUUUAUGGUUUCUAUAACAUUGAAACUGAAACCAUAAGAGUUUGUGUUCUCAGGUCACCCCUUUGAAUCUCCA
MicroRNA precursor from Arabis alpina (gray rockcress), 107 nucleotides. It matches the Rfam family "MIR398 microRNA precursor family". The record is from Rfam. Lineage: Eukaryota; Viridiplantae; Streptophyta; Magnoliopsida; Brassicales; Brassicaceae.